RNAcentral lists this ribosomal RNA (468 nucleotides) under uncultured bacterium. RNAcentral's name for it is "partial 16S ribosomal RNA". It matches the Rfam family "Bacterial small subunit ribosomal RNA", at positions 28 to 507 of the family's 1533-position model. The record is from RNAcentral.
GACGAACGCUGGCGGCGUGCUUAACACAUGCAAGUCGAACGGGAAGGCCCUGCUUUUGUGGGGUGCUCGAGUGGCGAACGGGUGAGUAACACGUGAGUAACCUGCCCUUGACUUUGGGAUAACUUCAGGAAACUGGGGCUAAUACCGGAUAGGAGCUCCUGCUGCAUGGUGGGGGUUGGAAAGUUUCGGCGGUUGGGGAUGGACUCGCGACUUAUCAGCUUGUUGGUGGGGUAGUGGCUUACCAAGGCUUUGACGGGUAGCCGGCCUGAGAGGGUGACCGGCCACAUUGGGACUGAGAUACGGCCCAGACUCCUACGGGAGGCAGCAGUGGGGAAUAUUGCACAAUGGGCGGAAGCCUGAUGCAGCAACGCCGCGUGCGGGAUGACGGCCUUCGGGUUGUAAACCGCUUUCGCCUGUGACGAAGCGUGAGUGACGGUAAUGGGUAAAGAAGCACCGGCUAACUACGUG